CAAACUUUCCUGAUUAGUCUAUAAGGUGCAAAUCUACCCUGCCUUCUACUGGACUUCAGAUUAACACUGCUAAUUACUUCAUUCUGCUGUUGGCCAGAAACUCAGUUGUGUAAAGACCAGCAGGUUCAUGAGAAAUGGACCAAAAGAUGUGUUUUUGUUAUUAUGACUACAGCCCCUGAUAAACCAAUUUUAUACAUCCUGCAGACCUCAUUAAAUCCUAGUAAAAUGGUAUCAGCCAAGUAUGAAUUAGUCAAGAUAAACUAAAAGAAAUUUAAAAACCACAGUGAUUUGCAUAUACUGGAAGACUCACUCAUAUACAGUAUAAAGUCACUGAAGCAAAUCCUGGCAAAUGCACAUUCAUGGUAACAUUAGGCCUGGUUGUUUCUGAGUGUGCACUGCAAUAUUCUAGCAAAGGCUAUGGAGAGAGUACUCAAGAAAAAUAAAAUUCCUAGUAAUCUAGAGCAAGAAAUAGGCCUUUCAUUUUUAGCAUGUACCUUUCUCCCAUACUUUUUUUUUUGUUGAAGAGUGAAAAUAUUACCUUACAAAAUACUGCCCCACAGUCUGGGGAAACAAGCAAAAUCAGCAAAAAAAGUCUUACCCAGGAAGAUGAUUGUAUAAAAAAAACUUCUUAAUACCUCUUUCAUUUGCUGAAAUCUAGACAAUAGCUCAGUGUUCGCUAAGAUACGUUAAUACUAGUUUUAAAACCCCCCAGGAAUUUGUUGCUAUGCAAACCUGCUUUUAACUGCUGCAAUAUCUUCUGUAUUUUUGGGAAGAAUAUUUUCAUUGUUAAAACUGGAAAGACCAAGUGGGAAUAGAACAAGUAGGAAAGUAGCCUUUACGUCCCAAUCGUGGAACAAAACCAGGAAGCAGAAGUUAGUAUGUUCUAGAAAAUCCUACUGAGUCCAAUGAAUUAUAAAAUGCUGUUUAGUUCUCCAUAUGCUUUUCAUGCUUUCCUCAAAUCCUUUGUUGCAUUCUAUAGUUUCAUUUGACUUCACAAAGCUAACACAUUGUCAAAGCGUAAGAGGUACCCUGCUUCCUGCUUAGAAAGCCAGUACACCAUUUUGAUCCCAAAAGUGAGUUAAAAUAUCAGACUUGCUAGUACCUGUUAGUGUUAAAAAUGAGUAAUAAGAAUCCCUGUGAACAAAUGCAUUGCUCCAGCACAGCAGUACCAGUUCUUUAAAUUGAAUAGUUCAGCUGCUUUAAUUUUUUACAAGCAUUAAAUUCAGUUAGACCAACACAUUAGUUUCACUUCUGUAAAUUACUAAUUGUUGACCAUCAGAAUUAAUCUUUUUAACAAUGAUACGGGUAUCUGAGCUAUAAACUCAAUUGUUAAUAUUUAGCACAGAUCAAAUUCUUGAGCAAUUUAUAAAUGAUUAAAAUAACAUUAUCAUAGAAAUGUUGGCAUGCUCUUCGACCUGCUGGUGCAAAUAUGUGACUAAAAAUGAAUCACACAAAAUCUACAGCCAGAAUUCAUGUAAAGGAUCUUAUUUUGCCAUCAUUUAUAUGGCACUUAAGGUUCAUAGAAAAUUUUGGCAUGUUACAAAAGUAUGUCAUAGGAGUUAUAUGAAAAAAUGUAUUGUGACCUUCCAAAAACAGCACACAGCUCAGAAGACUGGCAGGCAUGAGAGGGGCUGAAUUCCUAGAAAUGAGGUGGAGAGCGAGGUUUUCUUUAAAAGAAUCUCAACCCCACUAUUCUUAACAAUACAGUUCUUUACUAAAGGGGUCCAUUUCCAGAUUUCACUGCUGGAUGUUCAAGUUGAACUUAG
Gavialis gangeticus (Gharial) is the source of this 1766-nucleotide long non-coding RNA. RefSeq lists it as uncharacterized. Lineage: Eukaryota; Metazoa; Chordata; Crocodylia; Gavialidae. The transcript is spliced from 2 exons. The record is from RefSeq and is a predicted model, not a curated record.